Long non-coding RNA from Ictalurus punctatus (channel catfish), 2416 nucleotides. RefSeq lists it as uncharacterized. Lineage: Eukaryota; Metazoa; Chordata; Actinopteri; Siluriformes; Ictaluridae. The record is from RefSeq and is a predicted model, not a curated record. The transcript has 5 exons.
UCUGAAAAACUAAGUUUUGUGGGUCCCAAGUUACCAUCUGGGAAAGAACUGUACAAAAUGUGUGUACUAUCCCUAAAUAAAAAGUUUCUGGACAAAAGAGUCGACACACCUUGGCGGUCUGUUCUACAUAUAAAGGAACAUGUAAAGCCACAAUGGAGAGCUUUGUACAAGUCACCAUUAACAAAAAAGUGUGGGGAUUUACAGUGGAGGAUUUUACACGGUGCAGUGGCUGUUAAUUCUUUUAUCUGUGUUUUAAACCCUGAUGUGAGUUAUGAAUGUCCUUUCUGUGCUGUGAGAGAAUCUGUGUUUCACAUGUUUAUGCACUGUGUGAGAUUGAAGCCUCUUUUUACUGUUUUACAGAGACUGCUUGGCCAUUUUAAUGAGAGUUUUACAAUCGAAACUUUUAUCUUUGGUUUUAAAUACUCUCAAAAAAAAAAAGGUUUAAGUGUCAGUUGAUAAAUUUUAUCAUAGGGCAGGCAAAGAUGGCCAUAUAUGUCAGCAGGAGAAACAGAAUUGAGUCAAAUUCAGGGGACAGCGUUUUAGUGGUUUUUGUGAUUCUGUUAAAAUCUAGGAUAUUAAUCGAUUUUAAGUUUUACCAAGAGAUGAAAGACCUUGUAUCAUUUGAGAAUAUCUGGUGUCUGGAAGGGGCAUUAUGUGUGGUUUUAGAAGAAAAAGUGAGAUUUCAUCAACUUUUAAAAGACUGUGUACGUACUGGUUGAAACUUGUUUGCUUAUUUUAUAUUCUUUACUCCUUGUGGGUUUUAAAGGCAACUGGAAGGAGAAUUAUUUGAAUUAUCUAUUUAUUUAUAUAUAUAUAUUUAGCGAGUAUCGUGUUCUUGUUUGUGUGUGUGAGAUUUGUGAAUAAAAAGGCUGCUUGAGUCACUUCUCAAGCCGUUAAACUUCUCUCAAAAAAUAUAAAAAUGUUUUAAAAUAAUCCUGAAAUUCUCGUCGGCGUUGGCUUACUGAGCGAUGAAGAGUCGGUUCAACUGAUUCAGUUCAUUCAUUCAAACCAUCGAAGUAGGAUAAGCGGCUUUGGUAAUGAUUCUUUAAAUGAAUCGAUUCAGAAUCCUCUUCUUGAAUCGUUUGAGUCGUUCUCACUCGGUCAGGGUUGCACGUGUGGGUUGCUUUUCCUGCACGUGUAAUCAGCACGUGUUCACAGACCGUAAAUCCCGACCCCAUGGUAGACACUCGACAGAAAUUUCAUACUAAAGUUGUGUUCGAGUUGUGCAGGCUUGUGUCACCUGACUUAAAGAAGGCAUUGUUUGAAGGGCUUGAUCAGCACCUCCCACGGCUCCUGCAGUUGUACAACACCGAGAGGCAGUGAAAUACCCGAAAUCCAACAUGUGAUGACCCGCAUUGAUCAAGAGACAGGAGCCUGUGGUUUCCUACUCUGAACGCUGUUCGAGCCAUGUCGACUUCAGGAGGCCCCACUCCAGCCUUCACCACCCUGUCAGUCACCCACCCAGCCAAUCACAUCACUCCUGUAGAGCUGCACCGACCAGAGAAACGCAACGCCAUGAACUAGGCCUACUGGAGGCACGGAUGCUGAUCACAGAGGAGAGCCUGAUGACCACGAUCGUCCGCACCUUCGAUGAUCACCUGAGACAUCGAGACCAGCAGGGACAAUUUCAGUUUUAACUCUACAGUGCACAAAAGGUCUUUAAAUUCCGCAGGGUCCAGAGUCUUAUAGAAGACCUCAAGUACGGCUGGAAAAAAGCAGAAUGUGUUACACUGUCUGUCAGAGAAUAUCAUUAUUAAUGAUAAUUAAUAGCUAAUCAUUCUCAUUAAACUUUUUUUUUUUAACUCAGAUAUGUCCUGAUUAGCCGUUCAACAGAGUGGACCGACAAGCUCAGGGAGAAGUUUCUGGAAGGACUUGAUGCUUUCUUGGAGCCGCUCAAGUCCAUGCAGGUAUGGACCCAGUAGUACGCGACGUGGACCAAGACAUAGAGAUGGAACCAUUGUGGGUGACAGCCUUCACAUUGCAGAUGAAGCUCACACACAUUAUCUCAGUGAUGCAAGAGUGGUGUGCCAGUGAUGUGAGUACUAACACACUCACCAGUACUAGUAUAUUACAAUAUGUGCACACUCUACAGGAGUUCUGGUAGUGCGACCAUAGCAGCAAAUGCACAUAUUAUUCCUGCACAAACUAAAACCAACAAGAUCUGUCUGAAGAUCACAGGACUUUUGUCUUUGUCAUGUCUUUGAGGUGUAUGGAAAUGAUUGGCUCCGAGUAGGGAUUUCUUGAAGGUCAAAGUUCUAUAUGUGGUUGUAAAUUUAAAUCUAUAUAUGGAAGCCUUCAAAUAAGAAGGAAGUAUUCGACGUGCAGGAAGUGGACAAAAUAACUAACAGUACAUGAAAAAGCAUCUUGACAAACACAGCUAUUGUGUAUGGGUGAAUCGUUGUGCCAGCUAACAGCA